RNAcentral lists this ribosomal RNA (253 nucleotides) under uncultured bacterium. RNAcentral's name for it is "partial 16S ribosomal RNA". It matches the Rfam family "Bacterial small subunit ribosomal RNA", at positions 524 to 776 of the family's 1533-position model. The record is from RNAcentral.
UACGAAGGGGGCUAGCGUUGUUCGGAAUUACUGGGCGUAAAGCGCGCGCAGGCGGUCUUCCAAGUCAGUGGUGAAAGCCCGGAGCUCAACUCCGGAACUGCCAUUGAAACUGGAAGACUUGAGGAUGAGAGAGGUGAGUGGAAUUCCCAGUGUAGAGGUGAAAUUCGUAGAUAUCGGGAGGAACACCGGUGGCGAAAGCGGCUCACUGGACCACAACUGACGCUGAGGCGCGAAAGCUAGGGGAGCAAACAGG